This 752-nucleotide long non-coding RNA is filed under the name Takifugu rubripes (torafugu). RNAcentral's name for it is "lncRNA (ENSTRUG00000028987.1)". The record is from RNAcentral. Lineage: Eukaryota; Metazoa; Chordata; Actinopteri; Tetraodontiformes; Tetraodontidae.
GGAGAAUUAGCUGCGCAACCAGCAAGCUGGUUUCCCCCACUGCAAGAUUUACAACAAGCCAGUUUAAGGCGAAAGAUUUUCACAUUCUACGCUUCCCGUUCUGCCUUUGUUCUUUAGUUGCUAAAGGUUUUGGUGGACCUGAGGCCAGUUUUCGGGUCCAGCGAAGUUCUCGCCACGCUAGUCGGGGAUGAGGUUAUGCUACCCGGGGUAUCGCUGACAGUCCCGGCGGUAAAUAACAGCAAUUCACCGUGGUCAGCGUUUUGCGUCGGCACCAGCGGGAUCCUUGAAGCUUCUAGAUGUCCUGCAGAGGAUGACCUUGACCCAGCAAACUGCUCUGCGUGCUGUCUGAAAAAGGGGUACCAGUUUGCAGUGUUGACGUCUGAGAGGUGUUACUGUGGAAACUGGCGCUACGCUUUAGUGGCCGGUGAGGGCUUCCACACGUCUUCCAGAGGAGGUGACAGAGAGGAAAGACGAAGGUGAGAUCGCAGCAUGUCCAUUCAGUUAAAUGAGUCUAAAUUCAGAUAUGUGAUAGAUGCGAUCUUGCGUGUGUCUCUCAUGUCUUCCCUGCUGUCCUCUCCUCUCUGGAGUCGGACAGGUUCAGUCUUCAUCUGUUUUAUCCUCCACAGUGCUUCUGUUGUGAAGAUUUCAGAUUCAAACCCGCCUACAGGUAAUGUCUAAAAAUAUAGUUUGUGUUGUUUUUGUAACAAUACUCUUUUUCAGGAAAAAAGGUGUAAUUUCUCAAGCAAAAUAAA